GACCGCAUCACUUUGAAACACCGGUUGCCGCUCGAUAACCGAAGUUAAGCAACGUCGAGCCUGGUCAGCACCUAGAUGGGUAACCGCAUGGGAAUACCAGGUGCUGUAAG
This is a non-coding RNA of Acanthosepion pharaonis, 110 nucleotides long. Lineage: Eukaryota; Metazoa; Mollusca; Cephalopoda; Sepiida; Sepiidae. The record is from the annotation of a GenBank genome assembly.